GGGCAUGUGGUGUAGGGGCAUCACGUCUGCUUCGCAUGCAGAAGGCCCCGGGUUCAAUUCCCGGCAUGUCCA
Molecule: non-coding RNA, 72 nt
Organism: Perkinsus marinus ATCC 50983
Lineage: Eukaryota; Perkinsozoa; Perkinsida; Perkinsidae
Source: Rfam